RNAcentral lists this ribosomal RNA (793 nucleotides) under uncultured soil bacterium. RNAcentral's name for it is "bacterial SSU rRNA". It matches the Rfam family "Bacterial small subunit ribosomal RNA", at positions 8 to 787 of the family's 1533-position model. The record is from RNAcentral.
AGAGUUUGAUCCUGGCUCAGGACGAACGCUGGCGGCGUGCUUAACACAUGCAAGUGGAGCGACGAACCAGGGCUUGCCCUGGGGCAGAGCCGCGAACGGGUGAGUAACACGUGGGUAACCUGCCCCGAAGACCGGGACAACCCGAGGAAACUCGGGCUAAUACCGGAUGUGGUUGCUCUUCAUAAGUAGAGCAAGCAAAGGGAGCUUCGGCCCCCGCUUCGGGAUGGGCCCGCGGCCCAUUAGCUUGUUGGUGAGGUAACGGCUCACCAAGGCUUCGAUGGGUAGCUGGUCUGAGAGGACGAUCAGCCACACUGGGACUGAGACACGGCCCAGACUCCUACGGGAGGCAGCAGUGGGGAAUCUUGCGCAAUGGGCGACAGCCUGACGCAGCAACGCCGCGUGAGGGAAGAAGGCUUUCGGGUCGUAAACCUCUUUCAGGAGGGACGAAGCUUCGGGGGUGAAUAGCCUUCCGGAGUGACGGUACUUCCACAAGAAGCCCCGGCUAACUACGUGCCAGCAGCCGCGGUAAUACGUAGGGGGCUAGCGUUGUCCGGAAUCAUUGGGCGUAAAGAGCGCGUAGGCGGCCAGAUAAGUCCGGUGUGAAAGUCAAAGGCUCAACCUUUGAAUGCCGCUGGAAACUGUCUGGCUAGAGUCCGGGAGGGGCGAGUGGAAUUCCUGGUGUAGCGGUGAAAUGCGCAGAUAUCAGGAGGAACACCAAUGGCGAAGGCAGCUCGCUGGAACGGUACUGACGCUGAGGCGCGAAAGCGUGGGGAGCAAACAGGAUUAGAUACCC